This 253-nucleotide ribosomal RNA is filed under the name uncultured bacterium. RNAcentral describes it as "partial 16S ribosomal RNA". It matches the Rfam family "Bacterial small subunit ribosomal RNA", at positions 524 to 776 of the family's 1533-position model. The record is from RNAcentral.
UACGUAGGGGGCAAGCGUUGUCCGGAAUCAUUGGGCGUAAAGCGCGUGUAGGCGGCUCGGUAAGUCCGCUCUGAAAGUCCAGGGCUCAACCCUGGGAUGCGGGUGGAUACUGCCGGGCUCGAGUCCGGAAGAGGCGAGUGGAAUUCCCGGUGUAGCGGUGAAAUGCGCAGAUAUCGGGAGGAACACCAAUGGCGAAGGCAAUGUUCUGGCUCGUUUCUGACGCUCAGGUGCGAAAGCCAGGGGAGCGAACGGG